UACGGAGGGGGCCAGCGUUGUUCGGAAUCAUUGGGCGUAAAGGGCGCGUAGGCGGCCGGGUAAGUCUGACGUGAAAUCCCUUGGCUCAACCAAGGAAUUGCGUCUUAAACUGCCAGGCUGGAGUCCGGGAGAGGGUAGUGGAAUUCCCAGUGUAGCGGUGAAAUGCGUAGAUAUUGGGAGGAACACCGGUGGCGAAGGCGGCUACCUGGACCGGUACUGACGCUGAUGCGCGAAAGCUAGGGGAGCAAACAGG
This 253-nucleotide ribosomal RNA is filed under the name uncultured bacterium. Its description in RNAcentral is "partial 16S ribosomal RNA". It matches the Rfam family "Bacterial small subunit ribosomal RNA", at positions 524 to 776 of the family's 1533-position model. The record is from RNAcentral.